AUGCGCAAAGCGCCUCUCGUGUCCUGGGGUCAAGCAGCCCCCAAUGGCCCCUUAAUGCGGGCUCUAUUCUGGAACAUCCGCGGUUUCGGCCAUGAUGGUCGUCGCCGCCAACUAGUGGAGUACAUGCGAGAGGAACACAUUGACAUAGUAGCCGUUCAAGAAACCAUGCGCCUCGAUUUCUCGCUCCCUGAGCUUGACUGUCUGAGCUCCCACCUCUUUGCGUGGCAUUGGCUCCCUUCUAGUGGGAGCGCAGGUCACUCGGGUGGCAUCCUUUUAGGUGUGAAGGAUGCCACCUUCGAGGUGGGCAGCAUGGAUCGGGGAGAAUUCUUCGUCAGCAUGGAGUUGUUCGAGAGAUCUCUCAACUUCAAGUGGGAAGUCAUCAUUGUCUAUGGGCCUGCCGACCAUAGUAGGUCGGCCGCCUUCCUUGAGGAGCUCCACCGGAAGAUCUCUGCUGCCUCCCUUCCUGUGGUAGUGGGCGGCGAUUUUAACCUCCUGCGUGUGGCGGAAGACAAGAGCAAUGAUAAUGUCUGCUUUGCGCGGAUGCAAAUGUUUAAUGACUUCAUUGCUGACCUCGGCCUCCGGGAUAUCGAUAGGAUUAGUGCCCAGUUCACCUGGACCAAUCGGCAAGCCUCCCCGACCCAGUCUGUCUUGGACAGGUCUUAG
RNAcentral lists this ribosomal RNA (663 nucleotides) under Triticum aestivum (bread wheat). Its description in RNAcentral is "partial small subunit ribosomal RNA". Lineage: Eukaryota; Viridiplantae; Streptophyta; Magnoliopsida; Poales; Poaceae. The record is from RNAcentral.